RNAcentral lists this ribosomal RNA (1178 nucleotides) under Klebsiella pneumoniae. RNAcentral's name for it is "bacterial LSU rRNA". It matches the Rfam family "Bacterial large subunit ribosomal RNA", at positions 872 to 2032 of the family's 2925-position model. The record is from RNAcentral. Lineage: Bacteria; Pseudomonadati; Pseudomonadota; Gammaproteobacteria; Enterobacterales; Enterobacteriaceae.
AGGUAGCGCCUCGUGAACUCAUCUUCGGGGGCAGAGCACUGUUUCGGCUAGGGGGUCAUCCCUACUUACCAACCCGAUGCAAACAACGAAUACCGAAGCAUGUUAUCAAGGGAGACACACGGCGGCUGCAGACGCCCGGCGUGAAGAGGGAAACAACCCAGACCGCCAGCUAAGGUCCCAAAGUCAUGGUUAAGUGGGAAACGAUGUGGGAAGGCACAGACAGCCAGGAUGUUGGCUUAGAAGCAGCCAUCAUUUAAAGAAAGCGUAAUAGCUCACUGGUCGAGUCGGCCUGCGCGGAAGAUGUAACGGGGCUAAACCAUGCACCGAAGCUGCGGCAGCGACACUAUGUGUUGUUGGGUAGGGGAGCGUUCUGUAAGCCUGCGAAGGUGUGCUGUGAGGCAUGCUGGAGGUAUCAGAAGUGCGAAUGCUGACAUAAGUAACGAUAAAGCGGGUGAAAAGCCCGCUCGCCGGAAGACCAAGGGUUCCUGUCCAACGUUAAUCGGGGCAGGGUGAGUCGACCCCUAAGGCGAGGCCGAAAGGCGUAGUCGAUGGGAAACAGGUUAAUAUUCCUGUACUUGGUGUUACUGCGAAGGGGGGACGGAGAAGGCUAUGUUAGCCGGGCGACGGUUGUCCCGGUUUAAGCAUGUAGGCUGGUUAUCCAGGCAAAUCCGGAUAACCAAGGCUGAGGUGUGAUGACGAGGCACUACGGUGCUGAAGUAACAAAUGCCCUGCUUCCAGGAAAAGCCUCUAAGCAUCAGGUAACAUCAAAUCGUACCCCAAACCGACACAGGUGGUCAGGUAGAGAAUACCAAGGCGCUUGAGAGAACUCGGGUGAAGGAACUAGGCAAAAUGGUGCCGUAACUUCGGGAGAAGGCACGCUGGUGUGUAGGUGAAGUCCCUGCGGAUGGAGCUGAGACCAGUCGAAGAUACCAGCUGGCUGCAACUGUUUAUUAAAAACACAGCACUGUGCAAACACGAAAGUGGACGUAUACGGUGUGACGCCUGCCCGGUGCCGGACGGAGAAAGGAGGGGGCGAAAAGUAAGGAGAAGCCCUUGAUCGAAGCCCCGGUAAACGGCGGCCGUAACUAUAACGGUCCUAAGGUAGCGAAAUUCCUUGUCGGGUAAGUUCCGACCUGCACGAAUGGCGUAAUGAUGGCCAGGCUGUCUCCACCCGAGAC